Long non-coding RNA from Trachemys scripta elegans, 430 nucleotides. RefSeq lists it as uncharacterized. The transcript is spliced from 3 exons. The record is from RefSeq and is a predicted model, not a curated record. NCBI's taxonomy places the organism in Eukaryota, Metazoa, Chordata, Testudines, Emydidae.
CCAGGCUCCUGAGGAUGUUCAGGAAGAAGGCUCUGGAGGUGGCCCCAGAGCCUGAGGGAAGCAGCUGCCAUCUUCCCCAGGAGCAGAGCGGUCCCUCCAUCCCCGCUGGUGGGGAAGGAGCUCCCGGCUGGGCCAGGAGGUGGAAGUGCCCAGCCUUCUGGCAGAGGAAACCCACUCCUGGAGCAGGUGCCGAGGGACCCCCAGGGACUCAGAGGACAAGGAGAAGGAAUGGGUGGAUGUGGCCACAGAGGAGGCUGCUCUCAAGAACAUCCGAGAACGGCUCCAGGGCCAAGAAAAGGAUGAGGCCCAGCAGCUCAUGUUCCUACACGCCAUCCACCACGCAUGUCUUGCUGCACAGCAGAGAGGGCAGCACACAUUGGAGCCACACUGCUGAAAGGCAGCUGUGGUGGAGAGGAUUGUGGUGAGUGAG